RNAcentral lists this unclassified non-coding RNA (221 nucleotides) under soil metagenome. RNAcentral describes it as "partial internal transcribed spacer 1". The record is from RNAcentral.
AUGAAUUUUGGAGUUCUAACUGUGCCUGCCGUUCAUUCGGAUGUGUGCACGUAGUCUCUAUAAAUCCUUAUCAAACACCUGUGCACCUUUAAAAAAAGGGGGGAGUCUGAUUAAGCAUUUUAUUUUAUAUGAUGCUUAUGACGAAUAACCUCUUUUUCUUAUACAAACUCUUUUAAAUGUCUAUUAGAAUGUUCUCUGGCCGCAAGGCUAUAAAAUAUAAA